GCCGAACGCUGGCGGCGUGCCUAAUACAUGCAAGUCGAACGCAGUGGGGACGGGUGAGUAACACGUGGGUAACCUCCCAUCAGAGGGGAUAACACUUGGUAACAGGUGCUAAACCGAUACUGAUGGAUGGACCAGCGGUGCAUUAGCUAGUUGGUGAGGUAACGGCUCACCAAGUCAGCGACGCAUAGCCGACAUGAGAGGGUGAUCUGCAAGAGGGUAACUGAGACAAGGCCCGGACGCAUACGGAAGGCAGGAGUAGGGAAUCUUCGGCAAUGGACGAAAGUCUGACCGAGCGACGCGGCGUGAGUGAAGAAGGUUUUCGGAGCGUAAAACUCUGUUGUUAGAGAAGCGGUAUCUAACCAGAAAGCCACGGCUAACUACGUGCCAGCAGCCGCGGUAAUAC
Molecule: ribosomal RNA, 403 nt
Filed under: uncultured bacterium
Lineage: Bacteria
Description: partial 16S ribosomal RNA
Rfam family: Bacterial small subunit ribosomal RNA
Source: RNAcentral